UACGUAGGGCGCAAGCGUUGUCCGGAAUUAUUGGGCGUAAAGAGCUCGUAGGCGGUUUGUCGCGUCUGCUGUGAAAACGCGGGGCUCAACUCCGCGCCUGCAGUGGGUACGGGCAGACUAGAGUGCAGUAGGGGGAGACUGGAAUUCCUGGUGUAGCGGUGGAAUGCGCAGAUAUCAGGAGGAACACCGGUGGCGAAGGCGGGGUCUCUGGGCUGUAACUGACGCUGGAGGAGCGAAAGCGUGGGUAGCGAACAGG
This 256-nucleotide ribosomal RNA is filed under the name uncultured bacterium. RNAcentral's name for it is "partial 16S ribosomal RNA". It matches the Rfam family "Bacterial small subunit ribosomal RNA", at positions 524 to 776 of the family's 1533-position model. The record is from RNAcentral.